AUCCUUACCUGGCAGGGGAGAUUGCAUGAGUGCGAAGGUGGUUUCCCCAGGGCGAGGCGUAUCUAUGCACUCUGGAUUGUGUUGACCACUGCGAUUUCCCCAAACGUGGGAAACUUGACUGCAUAAUUUGUGGUAGUGGGGGACUGCAUUCGCGCUCCCCCCUG
Molecule: small nuclear RNA, 164 nt
Organism: Echinops telfairi (small Madagascar hedgehog)
Lineage: Eukaryota; Metazoa; Chordata; Mammalia; Afrosoricida; Tenrecidae
Gene: U1
Rfam family: U1 spliceosomal RNA
About the family: U1 is a small nuclear RNA (snRNA) component of the spliceosome (involved in pre-mRNA splicing). Its 5' end forms complementary base pairs with the 5' splice junction, thus defining the 5' donor site of an intron.
Source: Ensembl